Molecule: ribosomal RNA, 205 nt
Filed under: uncultured Latescibacterota bacterium
Lineage: Bacteria; Pseudomonadati; Candidatus Latescibacterota
Description: uncultured Latescibacteria bacterium partial 16S ribosomal RNA
Rfam family: Bacterial small subunit ribosomal RNA
Source: RNAcentral
UGUAGGCGGUCAGGUAAGUGGAAUGUGAAAUGCCCCGGCUCACCCGGGGACCGGCAUCCCAAACUGCCUGGCUUGAGUAUGGGAGAGGAUGGAGGAAUUCCUGGUGUAGCGGUGAAAUGCGUAGAUAUCAGGAGGAACACCGGUGGCGAAGGCGUCCAUCUGGCCCAAUACUGACGCUGAGGCGCGAAAGCUAGGGGAGCAAACG